This 72-nucleotide transfer RNA is filed under the name Camelus bactrianus (Bactrian camel). It matches the Rfam family "tRNA". From Rfam's summary of the family: Transfer RNA (tRNA) molecules are approximately 80 nucleotides in length. Their secondary structure includes four short double-helical elements and three loops (D, anti-codon, and T loops). The record is from Rfam by way of RNAcentral. Lineage: Eukaryota; Metazoa; Chordata; Mammalia; Artiodactyla; Camelidae. RNAcentral also lists the same sequence under 2 other names.
GAGGGUAGAGCUCAGUGGUAGAGCAUGUGCUUAGCAUGCACGAGGUCCUGGGUUCAAUCCCCAGCACCUCCU